Molecule: long non-coding RNA, 811 nt
Filed under: Homo sapiens (human)
Lineage: Eukaryota; Metazoa; Chordata; Mammalia; Primates; Hominidae
Description: non-protein coding MIR193BHG:29
Source: RNAcentral
CUAGAGAUGGGUUUCACCAUGGUGAUCAGGAUGGUCUCGAACUCCUGACCUCAAGUGAUCCACCCACCUUGGCCUCCCAAAGUGCUGGGAUUACAGGCGUAAGCCACUGUGCCCAGUCCCUAUUUUCCUUUUUCUACCUGUCUGCCCUCAGGUAGACACAAACCUCAUGCCCUCACCACCUUCAAGCCUCUACUCCAGUCUACUCCAGUACCCCUUCCCUGACCCCCGGGUCCCUCUUUUUUGUUUUCUCACUCUCUGUAGCACCUUCUACCACCAUCCACCCUCCUCCGUGUUUUAUUUAUUUUGUUGAUUUCUCCUUCAUUGAAAUGUCAGCUCCAGGCGGGCACGCAUCUUUGUUGUGUUCUCUGCUGACUAUAUCCUCAGCACCUAGAACUGUGUCUGUCACCUAAUAGAUGCUCAGUAAGUAUCUGGAAUGAAUGGAUUAUUUGUGUUUGCCAACAUACACAGGUCUACCAAAGUUGUUUUCUCAUGUACCUGUGCAUUUCAUGCUUCUAAUAGGUAUAAGGGAAGUCUGGUUAUAUCUUUUCUUCCUGGGACUGCUAUAACAAAUUAUCACAGACUACAGGGCUUAACACAGCAGAUUCAUUUCAAAGUUCUGGUGGCCAGAAGUUGUAAAUCUAGCAGGGCUGCCCUCCCUCCAGGCACACUAGGGAAGAUGUGUGUCUUGUCUCUUCCACCUUCUAGUAGCUCUGGCGUUCCUUGGCUUGUGGCCGCAUCACUCCGGUCUCUGCCUCCGUCUUCUUACCUUCCUCUUCUCUCUGUCCUGGUCUCUGCUUCUCUCUUUUAAGGA